CUAACUCCCACACCGGCCGAACUCUUAUCUUCCCCGAGCCCUCUUCCUCUCGCAACCUCCUCUCUUCCUCGCGCGUACGCACCCCAGCAGCUCGCCGGCUCUCCUCUUCUCCCUCGAGCCACAGCCGCCGGUUCUCCUCCUCAUGCCAGCACCAGCGAUGCCGCACCCCGCUGGCCUUUCCUUCCCUCUCGCGAAGCCGCCACUCUCUGCCUUCACCGAAACCCUUUUUCCCCUCUUCCCAACGCCAGCCGUCUCCUCUUCUCUCUCGAGUCGCACAGCUGGCGAUUUCUUCUCCUCACGCGAGUACCAAGAAGCCAUGGCCGUCGGACACCGCAUCCGACGAUCUCUUUCCGCACCAGCAGUCGUGCCCUAACUGAUCCAGUAAGAAGAUUCUGCUAGUAGGGCUGUAAUUCGAGACGAGCACUUCGACGUGGAGAUUGUUUAGCUCGGUCUACAUUUAAGGCGGUUAGACCUUGGGUUAUUUAUUGGAAAUGUUUAUAUGUCUUACACAUUACCUCUGUAGUUACGAGCAGUAUUGUAGCAGAUUAGUACCAUUCUUGACCUUCUAUAUCUAGCCUAGGAUAUGGUUCCAGGUAUGAGCAUUGAUUAUGGUUUCAUUUUGUAUAUGCUACUUCUCUUAUGAGACUGUAUUCCUUUUGGGCAUUCUCUAUUUGUUGACUAUGUUCAUGCACUAUCUUUUCUAUACCCGCUGAGUUCCAAUACUCACCACCUCGCAAAUUUGUUUCCUUUCGCCAGGUAACAGAUAGAUGAGUCAGGGAUUCUUGAAGAGUCUCGGCUGCCGGUCCCUCGUCACACUCAAGGAUCGUUUUAUUUUUGGGUUUUGGCACUGUUUGGGAGGUAUAUUAAUUUUGCGUAUUUUGCUUUUGAACAAGUCACUGUGGAUUUUUGGAGUCUAGUCUAGUGGUUGCAAGUAUUUUGUUAGCGCCGUUGUUGGUCUAACGUUCGUAUUAUUUUGUGUUUUCCGCUGCAUUUAUUGUGUUCUAGCUGUGUGGGCUGUUAUUAUUUUGCGUGGUUGUGGGUUAUUUCAUUGUUGUCUAGCCGGGUAGGCUGAGUAUAUUAAUUGCGUGGUUAUGUUGUUUAUAUUUUGUAUAUAUAUUCCAGCCGAGUGUAGCUGUGUAUAUUUUCUAUAUAGUAAUGUUUCAGAUUGUCACCCGUACAGG
This is a long non-coding RNA of Zingiber officinale, 1181 nucleotides long. RefSeq lists it as uncharacterized. NCBI's taxonomy places the organism in Eukaryota, Viridiplantae, Streptophyta, Magnoliopsida, Zingiberales, Zingiberaceae. The record is from RefSeq and is a predicted model, not a curated record. The transcript is spliced from 3 exons.